CCCGACCUCCUCUGCUGCUCCUGCCCCUGCUGCUGCCCCAGCUGCUCCUGCUGCCAGUGCCUCUGGCUCUUUGGAUUCCCUGGCUGCCUGGAUCUCCGCCAACUACAUGGGCAUGGGCAAGAGUGCUGCAGAUGUGCUUCCUGAGCUGCGCCGCAAGGGCAUCACCGCCAGCGGAAACAGCUUCAGCAUGGGUGGCCAGCUGAUGAGCGCGCCAGAGAUUGCCAGCGCGCUGCGCCUGCAGGUGGGCGAUGGGAACCAGGCUUGCAAUUUUUCUGAAUUUGAAACGCACCAUCAAAGUGAUCUGCUUUCGGAAAAUCAAGUAAGGCAAAGCGAAGGUUAGGAGAGGGAACCUGGGCCCAAAGGAAUUAAAUGGAAUGCGCAGAGUAAUGAGAGUGAUCUAUUUGGUUCCCUUGCAUAAUGGGUACCAAAAUGCCUGGUCUGGCUCAGGUAUGUCCCAAAGGUCAACUCUGGUAGGUUUUUAGCCCGAUUCAUCCAAGAAGAUAAAAAGAGGGGGAAGGUUUGGUCCUAAGCACUGGGUGCAUGGCCACCUCUUGAGUGCAUCUGCUAGGUAAAAGCAGUUGGUGUGUUGAAACCACCCAAACAGUGUGCUGGCCUCGUCCCAAGGGCAACAACUUUUGCAGCAUGCUCCUCAUGUUAGCCUGUACAGCUUUGGGGCCCAGGUGUACAGGGAAUAAAUCCUGGCAAUGAAUCCUGGCAGACAGGUCAACUGAUCGUUCGACCGAAGCACUUGGCUAUGGUCAGCCCGCCUGAGCGCAUGCUUUGGCUUGCCUGUGAGGGCUCUGAAGGCUUCCUGCGCGUUGGACAGCUGGCUGGACCUUUAGAAUCCAAGUGAUAAAUCACAGCUCAAUUGAUCCAAUUUCAGUUUUUACAUCUUUCUACUGCUGCAAGAUUAUUGCAUCCCUGCGGGAGUGGUGUCUGUGAUUCCAAAGUCCCCAAAAUACCAUGCUCUCUGCCGUUUUGGGUCCCAGGAGCAAUUAUCUGAAUUCCUGCCCCAGCCCUCUGCUCAUCCCCAUCCCCAUGAACAAAUUAUGCUUCAAAAUGUGUUGAAAUCCCAGAAUGUGUUUUUUGAUGGAGUGCCCAGCCAUUGCUAUUGGUCAGGCAAGCCAGGGGGCGACUCUUGAGGACACCACCUUGGCAGACAUUUUGCCUGAUUUCUGGCCCCACACCCGGGACAAACCCCACACAAGCAACUGAGCAAAAGGCUGCUCACAGAGGUCCAGGAAAUGGUCAUGCACACACAGAAUUAGCUGGGGUGGUGAAGCAUCAACUCAAUCAUACUUGGCUGACCUGGUGGGAAGACCUUAUUCCCAGGCAUUGUGUGUGUAUCACUGGCAAAGCACAGCGGGUGCGUUGUUCUGUGCACAUACAUACCAUAUGGUAUGGAAUGUUUCGUGCACACGUAUGGCAUGUUUUGUGCGCAAACAUACCAAGUAUAUCAAUCAGUGAAAAUGAGGAGAGGUCCCAGAGGUAAGAGAAGCAAAAGACCAAAGAUGAGGCAUGGGUUAAUGCAUAGAGGUACACAGGCGCCAAGUUGACCAUGUUUGCUUUUGUGUGAACAAAACAUUUGGAGUGAAGCACACUCAGGAAAGUAGUAGUGACUUCACGCUAAUGUAUUCAGUGAAUAAUGUGCACUCGUGGAGCAGAGGUAUGCACUGCCACGUUUGUUUUUCUCCCUGCUCCUGGAACAAAGCUUGGUGAGUGGUGCAUUGUCUCGUCAAAAAAGGUACAUUUUAUGAGCAUGUCUCUGCCAGCAUUUCUGGGUUCAUGCAGUCUCGGAGCUCAAUGUUGUCCAAUAGGCCUGGUGUCAAGGUGUUCUCCUUGAUUUUGGCCCUGCACAGGCGCGCACCCCCAGCCG
RNAcentral lists this long non-coding RNA (1876 nucleotides) under Dunaliella salina. RNAcentral's name for it is "long non-coding RNA (DSAL_LNC000011)". The record is from RNAcentral. Lineage: Eukaryota; Viridiplantae; Chlorophyta; Chlorophyceae; Chlamydomonadales; Dunaliellaceae.